GAUGAACGCUGGCGGCGUGCCUAAUACAUGCAAGUCGAGCGAACAGACGAGGAGUUUGUUCCUCUGUCGUUAGCCGCGGACGGGAGUGUAACACGUGGAUAACCUACCUAUAAGACUGGGAUAACUUCGGGAAACCGGCGCUAAUACCGGAUAAUAUAUUGAACCGCAUGGUUCAAUAGUGAAAGUCGGCUUUGCUGUCACUUCUAGCUGCAUCCGGGCCGCAUUAGCUAGUUGGUCAGGUAACGGCUUAGCAAGGCAACGAUGCGUAGCCGACGUGAGAGAGUGAUCGGCCACACUAGAAGGGGGCCGCCGACCUGGGGCCUAAGGGAGGCAGCAGUCGCGAAUGGUCGGCAGUAGUCGGAAAUCUUACGGAGUGGCGCCGCGUGAGUUAUGGAGAUCCUCGGAGCGUAAAACCCUGUUAUUGGUGGAGAACCAAUUUGUAAGUUACUAUACCCGUCUUGACGGUACCUGGUCAGGAAGCCACGGCUAACUACGUG
This 497-nucleotide ribosomal RNA is filed under the name uncultured bacterium. Its description in RNAcentral is "partial 16S ribosomal RNA". It matches the Rfam family "Bacterial small subunit ribosomal RNA", at positions 28 to 507 of the family's 1533-position model. The record is from RNAcentral.